CCUACGGGAGGCAGCAGUGAGGAAUAUUGGUCAAUGGGCGCGAGCCUGAACCAGCCAAGUAGCGUGAAGGAUGACUGCCCUACGGGUUGUAAACUUCGUUUAUAAAGGAAUAAAGUGAGGCACGUGUGCCUUUUUGGAUGUACGUUAUGAAUAAGGAUCGGCUAACUCCGUGCCAGCAGCCGCGGUAAUACGGAGGAUCCGAGCGUUAUCCGGAUUUAUUGGGGUUAAAGGGAGCGUAGAUGGGUUGUUAAGUCAGUUGUGAAAGUUUGCGGCUCACCCGUAAAAUUGCAAUUGAUACUGGCAGUCUUGAGUACAGUUGCGGUCGGCGGAAUUCGUGGUGUAGCGGUGACAUGCU
RNAcentral lists this ribosomal RNA (355 nucleotides) under uncultured bacterium. RNAcentral describes it as "partial 16S ribosomal RNA". It matches the Rfam family "Bacterial small subunit ribosomal RNA", at positions 338 to 690 of the family's 1533-position model. The record is from RNAcentral.